This 251-nucleotide ribosomal RNA is filed under the name uncultured prokaryote. Its description in RNAcentral is "partial 16S ribosomal RNA". It matches the Rfam family "Bacterial small subunit ribosomal RNA", at positions 525 to 775 of the family's 1533-position model. The record is from RNAcentral.
ACGUAGGUGUCGAGCGUUGUCCGGAUUUAUUGGGCGUAAAGAGCCCGCAGGCGGCUUGCCAAGUUCGAGGUGAAAUCUCCCGGCUCAACCGGGAGGGUGCCUCGAAAACUGGCAGGCUUGAGGCAGGGAGAGGGAUGUGGAAUUCCCGGUGUAGUGGUGAAAUGCGUAGAUAUCGGGAGGAACACCGGUGGCGAAGGCGGAUCUCUGGCGCGUUACUGACGCUGAGGCUCGAAAGCGUGGGGAGCAAACAG